GGCCGCAGACUGAUAGCCCUUUGAGUAACCUGAGGUAAAGGGCGUCUUGGGUCAGAUCAGGGAUUAGAAAACUUAAUGCAGAAACAUACGUCUUAAUCGUACUGACCAUUAACACUAAAUAAUAUUUGAGCGUGAGGAAUUCCAAAGCUAAGGGAAUUGUGUCAGAUUCAUGGGAAAGGGAAUUAAAGUAAACUUCCCAUGCUUUAAAU
Molecule: non-coding RNA, 209 nt
Organism: Pelobates cultripes (western spadefoot toad)
Lineage: Eukaryota; Metazoa; Chordata; Amphibia; Anura; Pelobatidae
Source: the annotation of a GenBank genome assembly